This 460-nucleotide ribosomal RNA is filed under the name uncultured bacterium. Its description in RNAcentral is "partial 16S ribosomal RNA". It matches the Rfam family "Bacterial small subunit ribosomal RNA", at positions 338 to 795 of the family's 1533-position model. The record is from RNAcentral.
CCUACGGGUGGCAGCAGUGAGGAAUAUUGGUUAAUGGGCGCGAGCCUGAACCAGCCAAGUAGCGUGAAGGAUGACUGCCCUACGGGUUGUAAACUUCUUUUAUAAAGGAAUAAAGUGAGGCACGUGUCCCUUUUUGUAUAUACUUUAUGAAGAACGAUCGGCUAACUCCGUGCCAGCAUCCCCGGUAAUACGGAGGAUCCGAGCGUUAUCCGGAUUUAUUGGGUUUAAAGGGAGCGUAGGUGGGUUGUUAAGUCAGUUGUGAAAGUUUGCGGCUCAACCGUAAAAUUGCAAUUGAUACUGGCAGUCUUGAGUACAGUUGAGGUAGGCGGAAUUCGUGGUGUAGCGGUGAAAUGCUUAGAUAUCACGAAGAACCCCGAUUGCGAAGGCAGCUUACUAAACUGCCACUGACAUUGAGGCUCGAAAGUGUGGGGAUCAAACAGGAUUAGAUACCCUUGUAGUC